UUUGAAACUUGGUCCACUCCUUACGGGGGAGACAGUCAUGAGACGUGAGUAUAAGACCUGAGUGUAAAGACCUUAGGGUGAAGCAAUUGGAGGGCAAGCUUUGGUGCCAGCAGCCGCGGUAACUCCAACUCCAAGAGUGUCUAUGGUGGAUGCUGCAGUUAAAGGGUCCGUAGUCGUGAAUGCAAUUAAAUGUCGUUGUUCAAUAGCGAUGAGUUUGCUAAUGUUUGCGGAACGGAUAGGGAGUGUAGUAUAGACUGGCGAAGAAUGAAAUCUCAAGACCCAGUUUGGACUAACGGAGGCGAAGGCGACACUCUUAGACGUAUCUUAGGAUCAAGGACGAAGGCAGGAGUAUCGAAAGUGAUUAGACACCGCUGUAGUUCCUGCAGUAAACUAUGCCGACAGCCUGUGUGUGAGAAUACGUGGGCGGGAGAAAUCUUAGUGUUCGGGCUCUGGGGAUAGUACGCUCGCAAGGGUGAAACUUAAAGCGAAAUUGACGGAAGGACACUACCAGGAGUGGAUUGUGCUGCUUAAUUUAACUCAACGCGGGAAAACUUACCAGGGUCAAGUCAUUCGUUGAUCGAAUACGUGAGAAUGGCAGG
Molecule: ribosomal RNA, 599 nt
Filed under: Enterocytozoon bieneusi
Lineage: Eukaryota; Fungi; Microsporidia; Enterocytozoonidae
Description: SSU rRNA
Rfam family: Microsporidia small subunit ribosomal RNA
Source: RNAcentral